Molecule: RNA transcript, 1257 nt
Organism: Aegilops tauschii subsp. strangulata
Lineage: Eukaryota; Viridiplantae; Streptophyta; Magnoliopsida; Poales; Poaceae
Source: RefSeq, a predicted model, not a curated record
AGCCCCCAUUCGGCGGCUACCUUGCCGCACUCCAACGCCCAGCAUGCCGCCCUUUAAGCGCCCAGCGCGGCCGCCACCUGCAACCCCCCUACCUCCACCCCAUAUCGAUCUGCCGCUUCCUCGACCUGCCUCGGCGCCGCUUCCUCGAUCUGCCACGCCGCCGCUUCCUUGAUCCACCUCGCCGCCGUUUGGAUAGUUGUGGCGACGGCUUCGUCGGUCUUCAGCUCCGGCACCUACAUCCUCAAGGAGUACGAUCUCUUGGCUGGUUUCAUCUGUUCUGGGACCAAAAUUGCCGAGGGGACUUCCACAACUUGUAUUGCUUGAUUUCCCUGUCUGAGACUACAAUCUUGUUGUCCAAGGUGAUGGACAUGCUGACCAUAUACCUGCACUAUGAAGAUGCAAAUCAGGAAGCCAAAAUUUUACAAAGAUCCAUGAUGAGGUUAUGCCUAUAGUUACUCUUACUCAUGUCACAAUGAUAGAAUAUAAAAUAGUUGCUUGCUUACCAUUGUUGUGUCAUGUAACUAGGUUGGCAACCAUGAUGUCAACCAAUUACAAAUUCAACAAAAUUCAUCAUCACCACAAGACCUUGUUAUUGAUUCUGUGCCAGAGGUGAGGGAAACGAGGGAUCUUACAGGUGAAUCUGUUUCAAGAUAGAACCAGCAGGGGAAUAGAACUGAACACCCACACCCAGCUAGCACAAAAAGAAGGCGUACUUCUUCCAUCAAGGCUGCUUCCAAAGUAGUUUUAAAGACUUCAACAUAUACCAACAAGCGAAAUGUUGCAUAUGGAACUAUUCGGAGUACUGAUCCAAGAACUAAGGCUGGUGGCAUUGAAUUAGGUGUUGAAUUUGCCAUUGUGCGCAUAGAUCAACCUAUUCUUUAUAAUGAGGAGUUGGUAAGGGAUUGAGUUGCAAGAAAAUUGGUGAGACUUUCACUUUAGGAUACUUAAUUGCCUGGCCUUCAGCUUUUAUUCGAGAGAAGGAUAAUUGAGUUGCAGCUGAAUUCUUGGAUCAAGAAGCAAAUAAAGUUUGAGGAUUUUAGCUCCCAAUAGUCGUAGUUUACAUUGAUAGAUUGAAAAAUGUAAUAUAAUCCACAAGAUCUUUUUCUUUCUUUGAAUUGAUGCAAAUGCUAUGGUGUAAUAUUCUCGAUAGUUGUGUUUUCUUUGCUCAAAAUGAUAUGACUGAUAUAUUUAUUGUAAUGCAUAUGUAUCAUACACUCUUGUGUAUUUGUAAUAAAUAUCUUCAUAUGAAUUUCCAGA